UCCGAAUUGGUGUAGUGGCUAACAUUUGACGCUCUCACGAUAACAACGUGUGCCGUCAAGCCCGGGGUUCGAUUCCCCGAUUCGGAG
RNAcentral lists this transfer RNA (87 nucleotides) under Xylariaceae sp. FL0594. RNAcentral describes it as "tRNA-Glu". It matches the Rfam family "tRNA". From Rfam's summary of the family: Transfer RNA (tRNA) molecules are approximately 80 nucleotides in length. Lineage: Eukaryota; Fungi; Ascomycota; Sordariomycetes; Xylariales; Xylariaceae. The record is from RNAcentral.